This 495-nucleotide ribosomal RNA is filed under the name uncultured bacterium. Its description in RNAcentral is "partial 16S ribosomal RNA". It matches the Rfam family "Bacterial small subunit ribosomal RNA", at positions 28 to 507 of the family's 1533-position model. The record is from RNAcentral.
GAUGAACGCUGGCGGCGUGCCUAAUACAUGCAAGUAGAACGCUGAAGGAGGAGCUUGCUCUUCUGGAUGAGUUGCGAACGUGUGAGUAACGCGUAGGUAACCUGCCUGGUAUCGGGGGAUAACUAUUGGAAACGAUAGCUAAUACCGCAUGACAACAGUUAUUCCAUGUUAACUGUUUAAAAGUGGCAACUGCUCCACUACCAGAUGGACCUGCGUUGUAUUAGCUAGUUGGUGAGGUAACUGCUCACCAAGGCGACGAUACAUAGACGACCUGAGAGGGUGAUCGGACACACUGGGACUGAGACACGGCCCAGAAUACUACGUGAAGCAGAAGUAGGGAAUCUUCGGCGAUGGACGGCAGUCUGAUCGAGGAACGCCGCGUGAGUGAAGAAGGUUCUCGGAUCGUAAAGCACUGUUGUAAGAGAAGAACGAGUGUGGGAGUGGAAAGUUCACAAUGUGACGGUAUCUUACCAGAAAGGGACGGCUAACUACGUG